GGCGCACGGGUGCGUAACACGUAAGCAAUCUACCCUGAACUCUGGGAUAACCCUCCGAGAGGAGGGCUAAUACUGGAUAGGGUCCCCGAGGUGUAGGCCGCGGGGGGAAAACGGGCCUCUAUUUAUGCUCGUGGUUCAGGAUGAGCUUGCGGCCCAUUAGCUAGUUGGUAGGGUAACGGCCUACCGAGGCAACGAUGGGUAGCUGGUCUGAGAGGAUGAUCAGCCACACUGGCACUGAGACACGGGCCAGACUCAUACGGGAGGCAGCAGUGGGGAAUUUUGCGCAAUGGGCGAAAGCCUGACGCAGUAACGCCGCGUGGAGGAUGAAGGCCUUCGGGUUGUAAACUCCUGUCAGGGGGAACGACGGGGAAAGGGUGACAAGCCUUUUCCUCCAGACGGUACCUCCAAAGGAAGCCCCGGCUAAUUCCGUGCCAGCAGCCGC
RNAcentral lists this ribosomal RNA (442 nucleotides) under uncultured bacterium. RNAcentral describes it as "bacterial SSU rRNA". It matches the Rfam family "Bacterial small subunit ribosomal RNA", at positions 97 to 518 of the family's 1533-position model. The record is from RNAcentral.